Sorghum bicolor (sorghum) is the source of this 1160-nucleotide RNA transcript. It is a transcript of the gene named glutaminyl-peptide cyclotransferase, with no coding region annotated. NCBI's taxonomy places the organism in Eukaryota, Viridiplantae, Streptophyta, Magnoliopsida, Poales, Poaceae. The transcript has 5 exons. The record is from RefSeq and is a predicted model, not a curated record.
GCUUAUUUCCAGUGGAGUUCACUUUUGUCUUUCUUGGAUACUACUCUCCAGACCCUCUAAUUGCAUAUGCUGCUUUCUACGCCCCCAAGCCCGCUCCAACACAACCAAUUCAUAGUCUAGGCAUAGAAAUUAGUAGCUGACCUGCAGCGCACGAGUUUUACCCAUAAAAUGUGCGAUGGUUGGGGUUUGGUGACUGAUGGAAAAGUUCUUUUUGGCAGUGAUGGCACUUCAACCCUGUAUAAGCUGGAUCCAAAGUCACUUGAAGUCAUGAAAGUGGUGACUGUCAAGUAUCACGGUGAUGAAGUCCCCUACCUUAAUGAGCUGGAGUAUAUAGAUGGUGAAGUCUGGGCAAAUGUCGGGCAGGUUAGAUGUAGUUCCUCCUAGCUAACAUAUCUUAUCAUGAAGUAUCUUAGUGAAACUAUGUACUGCAUUUCGCAAGGACCACUAUAUCUUCCAUUAGUAUCUUAGUGGCGACUCCAGGAUGUUAGACCAAGUACGAAUGAGGUUUAAAGGCUUCUCCGAUUAUUAUUUCUAGGGUUGUGGACGCCCGUGUAUGGCUGCUAGGCGGCCAGGGAUGCCGCCGCUGCUGGCCGAGGACUGGCCAGGGCUAGAGCCGCCUACUCUUUGGAAACGAAGGCAGGAAACGCAAGAUCGCAGAGCUGACGCGGUGGUCCUCGACGGCUUCAAGGACGGGCGAGCAACGAGGGCGACGAGCAAUGUCCUGGCAACGCAGGAUCACUGAGGGGGUUUGAUGUGCAAGUACCUGGCAACGUAGGAUCGCGCAGGGCUGAUGGGCGAGGUCGUGUGAGGUGCGAGGUGCGAGUACCUGGCAACGCAGGAUCGCGCAGGGCUGAUGUCGUGGUCCUCGACGGCUUCAAGGACAGGCGAGCGAGGGCGAGGAAGGAUGGUCGACGGUGAGGUCGGGUGAGGGCGACGGUGAGGUCGGUCGAGGGCGUGUUCAGGGAACUGGCAACGCAGGAUCGGAAAGGAUGUUUUGUUUCCUUUACGAGGGACCGAAAUUUUUCAUAUCAGGAAUCCUGUAUUUUUCCAUAUUUUAUUUCGCACCCUUCCACGUCCCUGUUUAUAUAUUAUUCUCUAUUGUAAAUUUACAUUAGGAAUCCUUUCUUGUUUUUUUAUUCAAUUUUCACCCUUCCACCUCC